CAGCAGCCGCGGGAAUACGAAGGGUGCAAGCGUUACUCGGAAUUACUGGGCGUAAAGCGUGCGUAGGCGGCUUUUUAAGUCGGAUGUGAAAUCCCUGAGCUUAACUUAGGAAUUGCAUUCGAUACUGGGAAGCUAGAGUAUGGGAGAGGAUGGUAGAAUUCCAGGUGUAGCGGUGAAAUGCGUAGAGAUCUGGAGGAAUACCGAUGGCGAAGGCAGCCAUCUGGCCUAAUACUGACGCUGAGGUACGAAAGCAUGGGGAGCAAACAGGAUUAGAUACCCGUGUAGUCCCUGUCUCUUAUAA
Molecule: ribosomal RNA, 301 nt
Filed under: uncultured bacterium
Lineage: Bacteria
Description: partial 16S ribosomal RNA
Rfam family: Bacterial small subunit ribosomal RNA
Source: RNAcentral